This is a long non-coding RNA of Phyllostomus discolor (pale spear-nosed bat), 272 nucleotides long. RefSeq lists it as uncharacterized. Lineage: Eukaryota; Metazoa; Chordata; Mammalia; Chiroptera; Phyllostomidae. The transcript is spliced from 3 exons. The record is from RefSeq and is a predicted model, not a curated record.
UGGUUAGAGAAACAGGCGUUUUUGUCUUUGCUUUUGUUUCUUGUCUUGCACCUAUUGGUAUUUCCAGGUUGCAAGCUUUUUAAGCUUUGACUUUGGGAUGUAGGAGGCAAAACGGAAAUUCAAGGAACUUACUGUCGUGUCAUUUCUUGAGUCCUGAGUACUCUUGCUGGUAUGCCUUUUUUUCUUCACCUUUCAGAAUCACUCUGUGUGUAUUUUGUUAAUUAUCUUUUUUUAAAGAUUUUAUUUAUUUAUCUUUAGAGAAGAAAGGGAGG